GCUAUCUAUGCCUUACCGGUCUCACCAACAAUAAGCCUGGUGACUGACAAUCGAGAGGGGGCUCUGUCCACGUAGGUGCCAGCACAAGCUGAGGACACAAGUGGAACAGAGGAACCAGCCUUGCACGGAGGAAGCACCUUUUCCUUCUGGUGAUUGAUUGAUGGGGGACAGUGAGGAGGUUUUCAGAGGCUGGAAAAAAUUGUCCCAGUCACUUACUAUGAAGUCUUUGUCAGCAGAAAAGGCUCUCCGGGGUAGAGAAUGAUAUAAUGCAGAUGACAAAUGACAGGUGUGUGUUUCGUUCUGCUUGCUAGGUACUCAGUAUCACACGCAGGACCCUAUCUGCAGAUGUUCUGAAUACCUCUGAGAAUACAGAUUGAUUAUUCAAACAGGAUACCUAAUUCAAGGUAUUAGCUCUUGUCAGAAAGCUUUUACAUUUGAGCUCUGUGUUGGAAAUUCUAUUUUGGCAAUGAAUUGAAAUAGGAAAAGUUGGAAUGAGAAUAAAGGAAAAAGUGAAUUUGCAAAAUAAUCAAGUGCUUAAAAAACUACCCAGCACUUGUGAGGGUUUGCUAUUUCUGACUCAUGUGCAACCCUGUCUGUGCCAGCUUAUGUGCCAAUACUGACUUAUUUGUAGCCCUUUCUCUGCAACUGUGCUUGGAGUUUGGAUUUCAU
RNAcentral lists this small RNA (669 nucleotides) under Pongo abelii (Sumatran orangutan). RNAcentral describes it as "retained intron". The record is from RNAcentral. Lineage: Eukaryota; Metazoa; Chordata; Mammalia; Primates; Hominidae.